RNAcentral lists this ribosomal RNA (103 nucleotides) under Bacillus amyloliquefaciens. RNAcentral also lists the same sequence under 2 other names. The record is from RNAcentral. Lineage: Bacteria; Bacillati; Bacillota; Bacilli; Caryophanales; Bacillaceae.
GCGAAGAGGUCACACCCGUUCCCAUGCCGAACACGGAAGUUAAGCUCUUCAGCGCCGAUGGUAGUCGGGGGUUUCCCCCUGUGAGAGUAGGACAUCGCCAGGC